This 358-nucleotide unclassified non-coding RNA is filed under the name soil metagenome. RNAcentral's name for it is "partial contains 5.8S ribosomal RNA, internal transcribed spacer 2, and large subunit ribosomal RNA". The stretch from base 1 to 120 matches the Rfam family "5.8S ribosomal RNA", at positions 35 to 154 of the family's 154-position model. The record is from RNAcentral.
GAUGAAGAACGCAGCGAAAUGCGAUAAGCAAUGUGAAUUGCAGAAUUCAGUGAAUCAUCGAAUCUUUGAACGCACAUUGCGCCCGCCAGUAUUCUGGCGGGCAUGCCUGUCCGAGCGUCAUUUCAACCCUCGAACCCCUCCGGGGGGUCGGCGUUGGGGACCUCGGGAGCCCCUAAGACGGGAUCCCGGCCCCGAAAUACAGUGGCGGUCUCGCCGCAGCCUCUCCUGCGCAGUAGUUUGCACAACUCGCACCGGGAGCGCGGCGCGUCCACGUCCGUAAAACACCCAACUUCUGAAAUGUUGACCUCGGAUCAGGUAGGAAUACCCGCUGAACUUAAGCAUAUCAAUAAGCGGAGGA